UACGAGGGGAGCAAGCGUUGUUCGGAUUUACUGGGCGUAAAGGGCGCGUAGGCGGUCGUGACAAGUCACUUGUGAAAUCUCCGGGCUUAACUCGGAACGGUCAAGUGAUACUGUCGGACUAGAGUACAGAAGGGGCAACUGGAAUUCUCGGUGUAGCGGUGAAAUGCGUAGAUAUCGAGAGGAACACCGAUGGCGAAGGCAGCUUCUUGGUCCAUUACUGACGCUGAGGCACGAAAGCGUGGGGAGCAAACGGG
Molecule: ribosomal RNA, 254 nt
Filed under: uncultured bacterium
Lineage: Bacteria
Description: partial 16S ribosomal RNA
Rfam family: Bacterial small subunit ribosomal RNA
Source: RNAcentral